ACUGUUCCUCGGAUUUCCAUAGGGGUUAGGCCUUUUUGUUCCAGAUCCCUCCACUCGCUUUAUCUUCCUCAGCACAAAACCUCCGAUCUUUUCCUAUCUUCUUCUUCACCAAUCCUGGGUACUUCAUCGACCUCUAUUACAGCCUUUUCUCCUCUUCUCGUCUGACCAUCUUCCCUCCGCUUGCUCUGGAGUUUCAUCUUCUGAGAAUCAUCAACCUCCACCAAUUCCUACCCUACAAACUGAGUUUCAGAAUCGUCGGCCCCCACCACCGACCCACCGCCCCACAUACGAUUUUACCCAGUAAAAUCGGGCAGUUUCAUUGACAGACGAGCACACCCAGGUUUGUGUUCUAUUCUCUUUAAGUCCUCUAUUUCAUUCCUACGGUUCCUUUUUGGUUUCCUCCAGAACAUAUCAACAAGUAACAGGUGUGAGCCUUGUCGACCGCCGAUGUGGAUUGAAUCGAUGGCCGAUUUCAUUAUUGAAACAAGUUUUCAAGUAGAGGACGCAACCUAGCAUCUGGGGUUGUCGUCGGGACCUUAGCGUACUUUCUAUGGGUCAAGCCUUCCCAGACCAAUUCCAGAUCUUCAGGUUCGAUUGUGUUCUUAUAUCAACUUCAUGUCUCUUUUGACCAAGAACCCUCAUAAUUAACUUCAUUUACCGAACGUUUUUUGUUUGUAGGAAACUACGCUCAUUUAUGGGAACAAAAGUAGAAGUAAUACUCCUGGAAUUGACUGAGAUGAUUUUAGGAGAGGCGUAAAGGUAAUUUCGUUACUUCAAAGAAGAGAGAAGGAUCCAUGUUAAUAGCUUACUAUGUGUAAAAUAUCGUCAUGUCUACUAAUUGAAAAUUUGAACUCACUUAUAUGACUUAUGAGUCUGGCGAUUUUUUUACUUAUGAGAUUUUUCUAUUGGAACAAGUUUUCAAGUAAAUGUGGGUUCCAAAGGGUGGUGUAUUUCCUUACAUUAGUCUAAUCAGGUAAAUAUUUCCUUGGUCAGACCUUAGUACUUAUUGUUGGUUAGAAUGAUUUAGUUUUGAACCCCCUUUCACAUUGAGAUCUUAUGUUAGAAAAUUUACAAUACAUUCAUGUGGAAUAGAUCUUCAUGUGUACUUUUUUGAUGUUUUCGUCUUUAUUUUUUAGUCAAAUUGGCAAGGUCCGAGAAAGGUGUGUACUCAAUAUUUUCUUCCGAUAUAUCAUGAAAUUUUGAUUUCAUUUCAGAUUGUGGCACAAAGGAAAGCAAGAUUAAACAACCUAAUUUAACUGAAAUGCAAUUGUUAAGGGAGGAGAUUAAAACUAUGCUUUUGUAUUGUUUUUUGCCCUUUCUCCUAAGUUUUCUUCAUUUUUAUCAUACUGGACCAAAAUUUAAGAUAUUUGUAGCUUUUUAACAUUCAUGGAAGGAAUUUUAGUUAUUUGGAGUGUGCUAUUUGUGUAAGUGGGCGCAUGUAAGUUAUGGAUAGAAGUUGUUAAUGUUGAAGUAGGUAUUGUGCAGACAAUAGACCAGCAUGGGAUUAUGUGGCUUGUCAUGGGAGCUGCAGCUGAGAAAGUAUAUUCAAAGUAAACCUAUACAAUGACUUUCUUUAUACAUUAAGUUAGAAGAAAAAUAUGUAUAAAUGUAAAUCAACUUCCGUUUUUCUCCCUCUAUUUAUCUUAGUGAAUCCAAUUCUUCAAAAUUACAGGGAUAUGUCAGAGCUCAUGUCUAAUAAAUCAAUGUAUGUUUGCCAAAAUGCCCCACUCACGUGCCAAAUAUGGUUUACUUGUAAAGGGCAACUCAUUUAUACAAGGUAUUGUUGUUAAUUUAUUGAUAAAGACAUAAAUAGCCCUAGAUUGACCAAUGUGGUGUUAUAGGGAGCAAUCUGUUGCUUUUAGGUGGGAUAUAAGAAGUAUCAAGGCGUUAUCAUUUGUGCCAGCUGGCAAGGAGACAAUGCUGACACUUUAUCAUGCAAUUGAUGCUAAUGUGGAAGCGAAAUCCAUUCGGUGUUUGGAGAAUUCAAUGAAAAGUGUGUGUAGCCCUUCAACCUCAAAUCAUUUGACGAUUGAUGAUACAAAAGAUCAAUUGCUUCAAUCACUUUUUCUUAUAUGUUUUUGGAAUAAUACCACAAAUUUUGUUUAUUUCAUUUUGGAAAAAAUAUAAUAUUAAUGGGUGUUAAAUGGAUUUUUUUCCAGGAAAAACCACAAGGGCUUUCAGCUUCCGAGUUGCAUUAUGAACUAGAGUAUUCCAAAACAGAAAGUAUUUGAAGAGUCGAUAAGAAGAUGCUAAAGACAGUUUGCAUAAGAUGAAUUUCUUUUAAAUUAUUAAUAUAAAAUACAGGUUUAGGUUAUGAAUCAGGAGAUACUUUUAUUGGAUGGAUCAGUCUUAAAUAGAAGUAUUUUACCACACAAAAAUGUUUGAAACAGAUAUUCUACAAAUAUCAUGUGGCAAAGCACGAGUAUAUUAUUUGAUUA
This 2438-nucleotide long non-coding RNA is filed under the name Lactuca sativa (garden lettuce). Its description in RNAcentral is "long non-coding RNA (LSAT_LNC001252)". The record is from RNAcentral. Lineage: Eukaryota; Viridiplantae; Streptophyta; Magnoliopsida; Asterales; Asteraceae.